GACGAACGCUGGCGGCGUGCCUAAUACAUGCAAGUCGAGCGGACUUGAAGGAGUUCUUGCACUCCUGAGAGUUAGCGGCGGACGGGUGAGUAACACGUAGGCAACCUGCCCUCUAGACUGGGAUAACUACCGGAAACGGUAGCUAAUACCGGAUAAUUUAUUACAUAGCAUUAUGUGAUAAUGAAAGACGGAGCAAUCUGUCACUUGGGGAUGGGCCUGCGGCGCAUUAGCUAGUUGGUGGGGUAACGGCCCACCAAGGCGACGAUGCGUAGCCGACCUGAGAGGGUGAACGGCCACACUGGGACUGAGACACGGCCCAGACUCCUACGGGAGGCAGCAGUAGGGAAUCUUCCGCAAUGGGCGAAAGCCUGACGGAGCAACGCCGCGUGAGUGAUGAAGGUUUUCGGAUCGUAAAGCUCUGUUGCCAAGGAAGAACGUCUCAUAGAGUAACUGCUAUGAGAGUGACGGUACUUGAGAAGAAAGCCCCGGCUAACUACGUG
This 500-nucleotide ribosomal RNA is filed under the name uncultured bacterium. RNAcentral's name for it is "partial 16S ribosomal RNA". It matches the Rfam family "Bacterial small subunit ribosomal RNA", at positions 28 to 507 of the family's 1533-position model. The record is from RNAcentral.